RNAcentral lists this ribosomal RNA (507 nucleotides) under Triticum aestivum (bread wheat). Its description in RNAcentral is "partial small subunit ribosomal RNA". The record is from RNAcentral. Lineage: Eukaryota; Viridiplantae; Streptophyta; Magnoliopsida; Poales; Poaceae.
AUGGCUUUUUUUAUUUCCCAAGAAAAGUAUAUCCAGGAUCUUCUUACUCGUGCGGCUCUUAGUGAUGAGUGCACUACUGAGACUCCUAUGGAGCUCAAUGUUCACCUUCGUGCUUCUGAUGGUGUGCCCUUGUCUGAUCCGACACGUUAUCGUCAUCUUGUUGGGAGUCUUGUGUAUCUUGCUGUCACUCGCCCGGAUAUCUCCUAUCCUGUCCAUAUUCUGAGUCAGUUUGUUUCUGCUCCCACUUCAGUGCACUAUAGUCACCUUCUUCGUGUUCUACGAUAUCUUCGUGGCACGAUCUCUCAUCGUCUCUUUUCCCCCGUUCCAGCUCGUUACAGCUCCAGGCCUAUUCGGAUGCUACGUGGACUAGUGAUCCUAUGGAUCGCCGUUCACUUUCUGCCUACUGUGUCUUUCUUGGUGGUUCCCUCAUUUCCUGGAAGACGAAGAAACAGACUGCAGUUUCUCGUUCGAGUGCAGAGGCCGAGUUGCGAGCUAUGGCUCUUCUAA